This 67-nucleotide transfer RNA is filed under the name Hydrophilidae sp. BMNH 1274333. Its description in RNAcentral is "tRNA-Phe". Lineage: Eukaryota; Metazoa; Arthropoda; Insecta; Coleoptera; Hydrophilidae. The record is from RNAcentral.
AUUUAAAUAGCUUAUAUAGAGAGUAUGAUAUUGAAGAUAUCAGGGAAACAAUUAUUGUUUUUAAAUA